UGUCAGGACCAGGCGAGGAUGGGCUCCACUUCAGGACUGUCCACUGGCUCCACUCCAGUCAGCACGUCCAGUAUGAUCACAGGAGGCGUCACAUCCAUGUCCUCAUCCCAGCCGAUGGCCAACAUCGCAGGUUCUCCUGUCAUCUCGUCUCCCAGUGCUCUUGCCACACAGGUUGCUGCAGCCGCCGGUGCCCAGCCCUGAACACACUCUAACGCUCCCUCUGCCCUGGGCCACGUUUUUAUGUUGAGUGUAAACAAACAAAAGAGAGACUAAACUAGGUUUCUUUUUUCUUUUUUUUCUUGUUUUUUUUGUUUUUUUUUUCUCUCCAUACAAUAAUUAUAUAUUGGAGCUCGGACACACAGCAGACAGUUAUGUUGUGUCAGUGUCCGACAGUCUUUCCUGAUGGUGUCUAUAUAGAAGCCACUACAGUGUAGAAAUUCAGAAAAAUGGAUAAUAAAAUUUAUUUUAUAUGUCCCUA
Long non-coding RNA from Megalobrama amblycephala (Wuchang bream), 478 nucleotides. RefSeq lists it as uncharacterized. Lineage: Eukaryota; Metazoa; Chordata; Actinopteri; Cypriniformes; Xenocyprididae. The transcript has 2 exons. The record is from RefSeq and is a predicted model, not a curated record.